This is a non-coding RNA of Ameiurus melas (black bullhead), 74 nucleotides long. The record is from the annotation of a GenBank genome assembly. Lineage: Eukaryota; Metazoa; Chordata; Actinopteri; Siluriformes; Ictaluridae.
GCAGUGAUCGUUUAUAGUGGUUAGUACUCUUGCGUAGGGCCGCAGCAACCCCGGUUCGAAUCCGGGUCACGGCA